ACGGAAGGCAGCAGUGAGGAAUAUUGGUCAAUGGGCGAGAGCCUGAACCAGCCAAGUAGCGUGAGGGAUGACUGCCCUAUGGGUUGUAAACCUCUUUUGCGCGGGGGUAAAGUCGGGGACGUGUCCCCGAUUGCAAGUAUCGUGCGAAUAAGGAUCGGCUAACUCCGUGCCAGCAGCCGCGGUAAUACGGAGGAUCCGAGUGUUAUCCGGAUUUAUUGGGUUUAAAGGGUGCGUAGGCGGGACGUCAAGUCAGUGGUGAAAUGGUGCGGCUCAACCGUAGCAUCGCCGUUGAAACUGGGGUCCUUGAGUGCGAAUGAGGUACGCGGAACGUGUCAUGUAGCGGUGAAAUGCAUAGAUAUGACACAGAACACCGAUUGCGAAGGCAGCGUACUGGGACGCGACUGACGCUGAGGCACGAAAGUGCGGGGAUCGAACAGGAUUAGAUACCCUGGUA
RNAcentral lists this ribosomal RNA (454 nucleotides) under uncultured Paludibacter sp. RNAcentral describes it as "bacterial SSU rRNA". It matches the Rfam family "Bacterial small subunit ribosomal RNA", at positions 341 to 792 of the family's 1533-position model. The record is from RNAcentral. Lineage: Bacteria; Pseudomonadati; Bacteroidota; Bacteroidia; Bacteroidales; Paludibacteraceae.